AGACGAACCGUGCAAACGUUGUUCGGAAUCACUGGGCUUAAAGGGUGCGUAGGCGGCCUAGCAAGUCGGGUGUGAAAUCCCUCGGCUCAACCGAGGAACUGCGCCCGAAACUGCUUGGCUCGAGGGAGAUAGGGGCGCGUGGAACUUCGGGUGGAGCGGUGAAAUGCGUUGAGAUCCGAAGGAACGCCGGUGGCGAAAGCGACGCGCUGGGUCUCUUCUGACGCUGAGGCACGAAAGCUAGGGGAGCGAACGGGAUUAGAUACCCUGGUAGUCC
This 274-nucleotide ribosomal RNA is filed under the name uncultured bacterium. RNAcentral describes it as "partial 16S ribosomal RNA". It matches the Rfam family "Bacterial small subunit ribosomal RNA", at positions 523 to 796 of the family's 1533-position model. The record is from RNAcentral.